CAGAUUUCAUACACUUUAAGUAUUUCAGUGUGGCGUAUCUUAUAUCUUAGCACCAGAAGACUGUACUCUUUUGUUAAGCUGGAUGAAGUCCCACCUCUUGAAACAAAUGGAUAUUUUGCUAUUCAUUUCAGGAGAACAAAGGCUUCAUAUUGAGUAUCACAUUCUAGAGAUAUCAGAGAAAACCCUGAGAUUUCUGAAGGUGAGACGACACCACAUUCUGAGUAUUUUCUUGUGACAGUGAGCAUCUAGUUCUGUAUGCUGUCCUUAGGAGGAAAGGUAAAAACAGUACUUUGAAACAUGAGAAAUAUUUAAGCCUUGUUUUUUUCUUCUUUCAAGAUUUCUUUCAAACCAUGGUUCAUGCAGAACAAGUUUCAGCUAUUCUAGAGUACCCAUGUUUCUAUCGCAAGCAGUCCUUGGAAUGGCAUAGCAGAAACAGCAGUAGGUGAAAUUUAUGGUUGUCAUUCUGAAAAUAGAGCCAGAGCUAACAAAUGUCUUAAGAUUUGAAAUGGCGAG
Molecule: long non-coding RNA, 513 nt
Filed under: Coturnix japonica (Japanese quail)
Lineage: Eukaryota; Metazoa; Chordata; Aves; Galliformes; Phasianidae
Description: lncRNA (ENSCJPG00005007024.1)
Source: RNAcentral